RNAcentral lists this transfer RNA (72 nucleotides) under Camelus bactrianus (Bactrian camel). It matches the Rfam family "tRNA". From Rfam's summary of the family: Transfer RNA (tRNA) molecules are approximately 80 nucleotides in length. Their secondary structure includes four short double-helical elements and three loops (D, anti-codon, and T loops). Further hydrogen bonds mediate the characteristic L-shaped molecular structure. tRNAs have two regions of fundamental functional importance: the anti-codon, which is responsible for specific mRNA codon recognition, and the 3' end, to which the tRNAs corresponding amino acid is attached (by aminoacyl-tRNA synthetases). tRNAs cope with the degeneracy of the genetic code in two manners: having more than one tRNA (with a specific anti-codon) for a particular amino acid; and 'wobble' base-pairing, i.e. permitting non-standard base-pairing at the 3rd anti-codon position. The record is from Rfam by way of RNAcentral. RNAcentral also lists the same sequence under 2 other names. Lineage: Eukaryota; Metazoa; Chordata; Mammalia; Artiodactyla; Camelidae.
GAGGGUAUAGCUCAGUGGUAGAGCGCAUGCCUAGCAUGCAUGAGGUCCUGGAUUUAAUCCCCAGUACCACCA